GUUUUGGGAGGCAGAAAAUUUGUGAAGAAAGCUAAUUUCCUGAUUUCUUCGUUUAUCUCUUAGGGGAAGUAGGAGAGUGAGAAAGAAGACUGGACCCUAUUCUAGAUGGGUGGAGGGAACCUGCCCUCAAGAGAUGGAAGCAGUGGGGACACAGUGGCACAAUGGCAAAUGAGUUCCUGGACAAAAAAAUCAAUCAACCCAAGGAUUCUUAGUCCAAGAGAAGAAGAAAAGUCCCGGGGAAAAGAGAAAUUCCUGAACCAUGAUAAGUGCCUGUCCAGGCAGCAUUGUACUUGACAUGAUCUCCCCAACUGGUUGUUAAAGGUUACUGUGAGUAAUAACUCCCACAAAUAAAUCUCAGAAAUCACAAACA
RNAcentral lists this long non-coding RNA (370 nucleotides) under Monodelphis domestica (gray short-tailed opossum). RNAcentral describes it as "lncRNA (ENSMODG00000041796.1)". The record is from RNAcentral. Lineage: Eukaryota; Metazoa; Chordata; Mammalia; Didelphimorphia; Didelphidae.